GACGAACGCUGGCGGCGUGCUUAACACAUGCAAGUCGAACGGUAAGGCCCUUCGGGGUACACGAGUGGCGAACGGGUGAGUAACACGUGGGUGAUCUGCCCUGCACUUCGGGAUAAGCUUGGGAAACUGGGUCUAAUACCGGAUAGGACCCUGGGAUGCAUGUCCUGGGGUGGAAAGCUUUUGCGGUGUGGGAUGGGCCCGCGGCCUAUCAGCUUGUUGGUGGGGUGAUGGCCUACCAAGGCGACGACGGGUAGCCGGCCUGAGAGGGUGACCGGGCACACUGGGACUGAGAUACGGCCCAGACUCCGACGGGAGGCAGCGGUGGGGAAUAUUGCUCAAUGGGCGCAAGCCUGAUGCAGCGACGCCGCGUGAGGGAUGACGGCCUUCGGGUUGUAAACCUCUUUCAGCACCGACGAAGCGCAAGUGACGGUAGGUGCAGAAGAAGGACCGGCCAACUACGUGCCAGCCGCCGCGGUAA
This 478-nucleotide ribosomal RNA is filed under the name uncultured bacterium. RNAcentral's name for it is "partial 16S ribosomal RNA". It matches the Rfam family "Bacterial small subunit ribosomal RNA", at positions 28 to 523 of the family's 1533-position model. The record is from RNAcentral.